Molecule: transfer RNA, 85 nt
Filed under: Felis catus (domestic cat)
Lineage: Eukaryota; Metazoa; Chordata; Mammalia; Carnivora; Felidae
Rfam family: tRNA
About the family: Transfer RNA (tRNA) molecules are approximately 80 nucleotides in length. Their secondary structure includes four short double-helical elements and three loops (D, anti-codon, and T loops).
Source: Rfam by way of RNAcentral
GCCUGGGUGGCUUAGUUGGUUGAGCGUCUGACUUCGGCUCAGGUCAUGAUCCGGCGGUUGGUGGGUUCGAGCCCCGCGUUGGGCU